GACGAACGCUGGCGGCGUGCUUAACACAUGCAAGUCGAACGGUAAGGCCCUUCGGGGUACACGAGUGGCGAACGGGUGAGUAACACGUGGGUGAUCUGCCCUGCACUUCGGGAUAAGACUGGGAAACUGGGUCUAAUACCGGAUAGGACCCCGGACUGCAUGGGCUGGGGUGGACAGCUUUUGCGGUGUGGGAUGGGCCCGCGGCCUAUCAGCUUGUUGGUGGGGUGAUGGCCUACCAAGGCGACGACGGGUGGCCGGCCUGAGGGGGUGACCGGUCACACUGGGACUGAGAUACGGCCCAGACUCCUACGGGAGGCAGCAGUGGGGAAUAUCGCACAAUGGGCGCAAGCCUGAUGCAGCGACGCCGCGUGAGGGAUGACGGCCUUCGGGUUGUAAACCUCUUUCAGCAUCGACGAAGCGAAAGUGACGGUAGGUGCAGAAGAAGGACCGGCCAACUACGUGCCAGCCGCCGCGGUAA
RNAcentral lists this ribosomal RNA (478 nucleotides) under uncultured bacterium. RNAcentral's name for it is "partial 16S ribosomal RNA". It matches the Rfam family "Bacterial small subunit ribosomal RNA", at positions 28 to 523 of the family's 1533-position model. The record is from RNAcentral.